RNAcentral lists this ribosomal RNA (500 nucleotides) under uncultured bacterium. Its description in RNAcentral is "partial 16S ribosomal RNA". It matches the Rfam family "Bacterial small subunit ribosomal RNA", at positions 30 to 523 of the family's 1533-position model. The record is from RNAcentral.
AUUGAACGCUGGCGGAAUGCUUUACACAUGCAAGUCGAACGGCAGCACGGACUUCGGUCUGGUGGCGAGUGGCGAACGGGUGAGUAAUGUAUCGGAACGUGCCCAGUCGUGGGGGAUAACGUAGUGAAAAUUACGCUAAUACCGCAUACGAUCUAUGGAUGAAAGCGGGGGAUCGCAAGACCUCGCGCGAUUGGAGCGGCCGAUAUCAGAUUAGGUAGUUGGCGGGGUAAAGGCCCACCAAGCCAACGAUCUGUAGCUGGUCUGAGAGGACGACCAGCCACACUGGAACUGAGACACGGUCCAGACUCCUACGGGAGGCAGCAGUGGGGAAUUUUGGACAAUGGGCGAGAGCCUGAUCCGGCCAUUCCGCGUGCAGGAUGAAGGCCCUCGGGUUGUAAACUGCUUUUGUACAGAACGAAAAGGUUUCUACUAAUACUAGGAGCUCAUGACGGUACUGUAAGAAUAAGCACCGGCUAACUACGUGCCAGCAGCCGCGGUAA